Molecule: ribosomal RNA, 376 nt
Filed under: Staphylococcus aureus
Lineage: Bacteria; Bacillati; Bacillota; Bacilli; Caryophanales; Staphylococcaceae
Description: bacterial SSU rRNA
Rfam family: Bacterial small subunit ribosomal RNA
Source: RNAcentral
CAAACCGGAGGAAGGUGGGGAUGACGUCAAAUCAUCAUGCCCCUUAUGAUUUGGGCUACACACGUGCUACAAUGGACAAUACAAAGGGCAGCGAAACCGCGAGGUCAAGCAAAUCCCAUAAAGUUGUUCUCAGUUCGGAUUGUAGUCUGCAACUCGACUACAUGAAGCUGGAAUCGCUAGUAAUCGUAGAUCAGCAUGCUACGGUGAAUACGUUCCCGGGUCUUGUACACACCGCCCGUCACACCACGAGAGUUUGUAACACCCGAAGCCGGUGGAGUAACCUUUUAGGAGCUAGCCGUCGAAGGUGGGACAAAUGAUUGGGGUGAAGUCGUAACAAGGUAGCCGUAUCGGAAGGUGCGGCUGGAUCACCUCCUUU